Molecule: long non-coding RNA, 226 nt
Filed under: Prunus persica (peach)
Lineage: Eukaryota; Viridiplantae; Streptophyta; Magnoliopsida; Rosales; Rosaceae
Description: long non-coding RNA (PPER_LNC006815)
Source: RNAcentral
GCUUGUAUUUUUCAAAUAAUCUUUACUUCUGGGGAGUUAAGUCUUUGAAACCUAUAUUUAUGUCAUGCUCCAGGCAUGCAUUAUAUAUAGUCACUUAUUGUCAUGUUAAUGGAUUGUGAUACAUGAAUAUCAAUCCAUGCUUGCAUAUUCAUAACUUUAUAUAUGCAUUAUCUUGAUGAGACAACUGUUGGGGCCUAUCAAGACACGUCGCCUUUGUGCACGCGGG